CCUACGGGUGGCAGCAGUGAGGAAUAUUGGUCAAUGGGCGCGAGCCUGAACCAGCCAAGUAGCGUGAAGGAUGACUGCCCUACGGGUUGUAAACUUCUUUUAUAAAGGAAUAAAGUGAGGCACGCGUGCCUUUUUGUAUGUACUUUAUGAAUAAGGAUCGGCUAACUCCGUGCCAGCAGCCGCGGUAAUACGGAGGAUCCGAGCGUUAUCCGGAUUUAUUGGGUUUAAAGGGAGCGUAGGCGGGUGGUUAAGUCAGUUGGGAAAGUUUGCGGCUCAACCGUCAAAUUGCAAUUGAUACUGGCAGUCUUGAGUACAGUUGAGGUAGGCGGAAUGCGUGGUGUAGCGGUGAAAUGCUUAGAGAUCACGAAGAACUCCGAUUGCGAAGGCAGCUUACUAAGCUGCCACUGACGUUGAUGCUCGAAAGUGUGGGUAUCAAACAGGAUUAGAUACCCGGGUAGUC
RNAcentral lists this ribosomal RNA (460 nucleotides) under uncultured bacterium. RNAcentral describes it as "partial 16S ribosomal RNA". It matches the Rfam family "Bacterial small subunit ribosomal RNA", at positions 338 to 795 of the family's 1533-position model. The record is from RNAcentral.